This 253-nucleotide ribosomal RNA is filed under the name uncultured bacterium. RNAcentral describes it as "partial 16S ribosomal RNA". It matches the Rfam family "Bacterial small subunit ribosomal RNA", at positions 524 to 776 of the family's 1533-position model. The record is from RNAcentral.
UACGGGGGGGGCAAGCGUUGUUCGGAAUUACUGGGCGUAAAGGGCUCGUAGGCGGCCAACUAAGUCAGACGUGAAAUCCCUCGGCUUAACCGGGGAACUGCAUCUGAUACUGGAUGGCUUGAGAUUGGGAGAGGGAUGCGGAAUUCCAGGUGUAGCGGUGAAAUGCGUAGAUAUCUGGAGGAACACCGAUGGCGAAGGCAGCCCCCUGGGCUAGCACUGACGCUCAGGCACGAAAGCGUGGGGAGCAAACAGG